GAAGAACCAGCACGGCCGGGGAUUUGCUGCAUUCCGCCAUAACUUCGAGAAUGAAUUUGUUUUGUCGAAAGCUGCGCCCGCGCACUCGAUGCUUUUCUCCUGGAGAUGAAGGCCCGUACUCCCUGUGCCGAGGAGUCCCGGGAGCGUAACGUAAGGCAAUCAAUAGUUUUGAUUGCUCUUUUUUUCGAUUGAGCUUUGAUACAUUUAGUGUAUCUCUCAGUUGGUGCGCUGCAAUUGAGACACUGCUCUUCAGGGCGCUUAGGUGGACAAUUCCUAAACCCAGUUUCUGGGGGGCAACUAUGGGAACGAGACUAAGUCCCCCCUUACUCUAGCCUUCCUUUUCGAAGAUGAGAGCAGAAGAACUUCGUAACGGCGGAGAAGGGUUUCGCCUCGAAUCCAAACGAUUUAUUGUUUUUCUUCUCUUAAGAUAUUUCUAGUUAGAGCUUGAUCGAGGGAUCAAUUGACU
RNAcentral lists this unclassified non-coding RNA (466 nucleotides) under Hevea brasiliensis (rubber tree). The record is from RNAcentral. Lineage: Eukaryota; Viridiplantae; Streptophyta; Magnoliopsida; Malpighiales; Euphorbiaceae.